AACGCUAGCUACAGGCUUAACACAUGCAAGUCGAGGGGCAGCAUGGUCUUAGCUUGCUAAGGCUGAUGGCGACCGGCGCACGGGUGAGUAACACGUAUCCAACCUGCCGUCUACUCUUGGCCAGCCUUCUGAAAGGAAGAUUAAUCCAGGAUGGCAUCAUGAGUUCACAUGUCCGCACGAUUAAAGGUAUUUUCCGGUAGACGAUGGGGAUGCGUUCCAUUAGAUAGUAGGCGGGGUAACGGCCCACCUAGUCAACGAUGGAUAGGGGUUCUGAGAGGAAGGUCCCCCACAUUGGAACUGAGACACGGUCCAAACUCCUACGGGAGGCAGCAGUGAGGAAUAUUGGUCGAUGGGCGAUGGCCUGAACCAGCCAAGUAGCGUGAAGGAUGACUGCCCUAUGGGUUGUAAACUUCUUUUAUAAAGGAAUAAAGUCGGGUAUGCAUACCCGUUUGCAUGUACUUUAUGAAUAAGGAUCGGCUAACUCCGUGCCAGCAGCCGCGGUAAUACGGAGGAUCCGAGCGUUAUCCGGAUUUAUUGGGUUUAAAGGGAGCGUAGAUGGAUGUUUAAGUCAGUUGUGAAAGUUUGCGGCUCAACCGUAAAAUUGCAGUUGAUACUGGAUGUCUUGAGUGCAGUUGAGGCAGGCGGAAUUCGUGGUGUAGCGGUGAAAUGCUUAGAUAUCACGAAGAACUCCGAUUG
Molecule: ribosomal RNA, 696 nt
Filed under: uncultured bacterium
Lineage: Bacteria
Description: bacterial SSU rRNA
Rfam family: Bacterial small subunit ribosomal RNA
Source: RNAcentral